Molecule: long non-coding RNA, 700 nt
Filed under: Homo sapiens (human)
Lineage: Eukaryota; Metazoa; Chordata; Mammalia; Primates; Hominidae
Description: HSALNT0208991
Source: RNAcentral
GGGAUUCUGCUUUUGCAUCUUCCUCGUUUUCUCUUGCCGCUGCCAAGUAAGAAGUGCCUUUCACCUCACACCAUGUUUCUGAGGCCUCCCCAGCCAUGUGGAACUGCAAGUCCAGUUAAACCUCUUUUUCUUCUCAGGGCUACCUUAAUGAGCAGCCAGGAUGCCAUCAUCUCCGACCUGAAUGACAAUAACCUCCAAACCAGCCUUUGUAUACUCCUUCCUGCUGCUCUGCAGUCCACUUCCACAGACCAGCCAACUGAAUCUCCUUAUAGAUUCAUAAUGGCCAUCAGCACAAAGAUGUUUUAUCUGCAGUCAACCAGUCAUGUUUCAUGAUGGCAUCAAAAUGUGCUGGAAAAGGUCAGAGAAAAUCAUCAUCAUAAAGUGAAGUGAUUUUCUUCUUUAUGAGCUCCUGAUGUAAACAGACUGAUGAGCACAACACAAUCCUUACUCACCCACAUGACAUCAUACACAAUCACAGCUAAAUGUUUCUAUCUGUCAAAGCCUGAAGAGUGACUACCAGAUUGUUGCCUGAUUGAUUUGACAGUUUGGUCUACAUUUCAAGGCUGGUUAGAUGGGAGGUAUGUCCUGGUAUAUUAGUUAAUUUAGGUAUAUCUUACUGAUUUACAUUGCAUGAUUUAUCAGAUGCUAUUGACUCAUUCAAGUAAAUACAUUUAAAAAUUAUACCUUUUGCUCAUACUAG